GGGCAGUUGCCAGAGUGGACAAUUGGGCCUGACUGUAAAUCAGGUGCGCGAGCUUCGGUGGUUCGAAUCCGCCACUGCCCA
This 81-nucleotide transfer RNA is filed under the name Chloroflexota bacterium. RNAcentral describes it as "tRNA-Tyr". It matches the Rfam family "tRNA". From Rfam's summary of the family: Transfer RNA (tRNA) molecules are approximately 80 nucleotides in length. Their secondary structure includes four short double-helical elements and three loops (D, anti-codon, and T loops). Lineage: Bacteria; Bacillati; Chloroflexota. The record is from RNAcentral.